UACGUAGGUGGCAAGCGUUAUCCGGAAUUAUUGGGCGUAAAGAGCGCGCAGGUGGUUAAUUAAGUCUGAUGUGAAAGCCCACGGCUUAACCGUGGAGGGUCAUUGGAAACUGGUUGACUUGAGUGCAGAAGAGGAGAGUGGAACUCCAUGUGUAGCGGUGAAAUGCGUAGAUAUAUGGAAGAACACCAGUGGCGAAAGCGGCUCUCUGGUCUGUAACUGACGCUGAGGUUCGAAAGCGUGGGUAGCAAACAGG
Molecule: ribosomal RNA, 253 nt
Filed under: uncultured bacterium
Lineage: Bacteria
Description: partial 16S ribosomal RNA
Rfam family: Bacterial small subunit ribosomal RNA
Source: RNAcentral